CCAACGGCCCUCUUUAGGGCCACAAAUAUGUACAAUAUCCUGGAAU
RNAcentral lists this non-coding RNA (46 nucleotides) under Caenorhabditis japonica. Its description in RNAcentral is "sRNA CJA48996". It matches the Rfam family "Histone 3' UTR stem-loop". Rfam says of the family: The mRNAs of metazoan histone genes lack a poly-A tail. 3' end processing occurs at a site between a highly conserved stem-loop (modelled by this family) and a purine rich region around 20 nts downstream (the histone downstream element, or HDE). Lineage: Eukaryota; Metazoa; Nematoda; Chromadorea; Rhabditida; Rhabditidae. The record is from RNAcentral.